Gavialis gangeticus (Gharial) is the source of this 796-nucleotide long non-coding RNA. RefSeq lists it as uncharacterized. The record is from RefSeq and is a predicted model, not a curated record. NCBI's taxonomy places the organism in Eukaryota, Metazoa, Chordata, Crocodylia, Gavialidae. The transcript has 3 exons.
GGUUUUGAGUAACGAUGGUGUUACUAACAUCCUUGUCUUGGACUCGAGAAAAGGUGAUGUUACUAAAACCCUCUUCUUGGAUUUGAGUAAAUGCGAUGUUACUAAAACUAUACCGCUGACCCUGUCUCACAGCUGCAAGGCACAGUUAAAAUGCCACGGGUUCAAGCAGGGUGACAAGGGUAGUUGGUGUCCUGCUGCUGCAACAAUUGUUAAAAUAGGCUGUUUAAAAUAGGAACUAAUUUGAAAAUAGCUUGAAAUAAUAGAAUUUAAAAUUCAUUCCAGCAACUCUGGAUAUUGUUGAGCGGUGGUGGAGGCGCUUGGUGAACAAAAGUUUCUGUAAAAAACUCAAGACAUAACAAUUUAAGUAACCUAGUGUUAAUGCAUUUUUUCCUCUCAAAUAUUCCCAACAGCUGCCGUGUUCCCAAUGCUUGGGCCCUCAGCUCAUUAGGUACACGUGUAAGUUGCAUUGAAGGAGCCGUGCUCUGCGCACCCGUGGAGCCGUGUGGUUUGUACAGUGCAGAGCCAUGUUCCUGUGGGUCUGUACAGACGAGCCAGGGGUCUGUCCUGAGGUAGUAUUAAAAUACAGGUCAGCUUUAAUAAACUAAGGGCUGCGGUGGAGGCAGUGUAUCUUUCAAGCAAAGGGUAGAUUUUACUUUAUUUUCUACUUUAAUUAUGACCUAAACAAAAUCAGGGAGAUCAGCAAGUAUCUAGUAGGCAACCGUCAAUACUCUGGAUCAUGGUGGAUGUGUAAGAGGUCUGGUCAGGUGCCUGAUGAGAAAUCUGCUUGAAAACCGCU